GGGUGUACAGCUUAGUAGUACAGUGCCUGCCUGGUAAGCAGGAGGCCCCGAGUUAGAUUCCUGGUACCCCCC
This 72-nucleotide transfer RNA is filed under the name Cavia porcellus (domestic guinea pig). It matches the Rfam family "tRNA". From Rfam's summary of the family: Transfer RNA (tRNA) molecules are approximately 80 nucleotides in length. The record is from Rfam by way of RNAcentral. Lineage: Eukaryota; Metazoa; Chordata; Mammalia; Rodentia; Caviidae.